AAACUUUCAGUUCAAGGGCAUUGUGGGAAGUAGCCAUGGUCUGAGGCUGGUGCCUCACCUGUCAGCCGGCCCGGCUGCUGCUACGCUCUCCUCUGGCUGCCGCAUCCCUGGCGAUCGCCGCUGUCGCGACCCUGGGCGGCUGCGGCCACCAUGAUACAUUUCAUCUUGCUCUUCAGUCGACAAGGAAAAUUGCGGCUGCAGAAAUGGUACAACACACUCCCUGACAAGGAGCGGAAGAAGAUCACCCGGGAGAUCAUCCAGACCGUCCUCUCUCGUGGGCACAGGACAAGCAGCUUCAUCGACUGGAAGGAGCUGAAACUCGUUUAUAAAAGGUACGCUAGUUUAUAUUUUUGCUGUGCAAUAGAAAACCAAGACAAUGAGCUCUUGACACUAGAGAUCGUACAUCGGUAUGUGGAGUUGCUGGACAAAUACUUUGGAAAUGUCUGUGAGCUGGACAUUAUCUUUAAUUUUGAAAAGGCGUAUUUUAUCCUUGAUGAAUUUAUAAUAGGUGGAGAAAUUCAGGAAACGUCCAAGAAAACAGCAGUCAAGGCCAUUGAAGACUCUGAUAUGUUGCAGGAGCAGGUCAAGAGUCAAGAGGAUUUCAAGAAUUAUAAAGUACCUUUUUAAAAUUGGUACUAAAGCCAUUCUUCCUGCUAUUUGGAAAUAAGAGACUGAUUAAGUUAAUAAGACAUUAGGCAUGAUUUCCCAGCAACUGUCUUGGCAGUACUUUGAGCUGAUUACUUACUCCUGCCCAUGGAGGGACUCCAUCCUCAGACAAUGGAAGAAUACAUGAACAAGCCUACAUUUUAAGUGGACAGUCUACUUGAAGAUUCUGAGUGCUUCAUGUUGCGCAUCUACAAAUAAGCAACUCUUUGCAUCCAGUCUCCACACAGCUCUGGCACCAUGCCAAAAAUAACUUAAAGGGAUUCUGUGUUAGCUAGCCAAACUUAAAAGUUGUUAGCAUAAUGUAUUUAUGGUCGCUGCAUGUCUGUGUUACACUGUCUGUGAGUACUCAGACAGUGGCUGUUGUUGUUUCAAGUAAUUGCUGCAGACUGAAUAGCUGGCUUGCAGUGUUGUAAGUCCUUGUGGUAUUUUUAAGGUAAUUUCAAAUAUUAGUUGCAAUAUAAUAAUUUUUGUUGCCAUUUGAUCUCCUACCUGUAGACUGAAAACUGCUUUGUGAUAACAUACAAUUUUGAAUGUAAAGUAUAUUUUAUAUAACAAAUGCCUUUCCUAAAUGUUUUUAAAAGGUACAUGAAUUCAAAUUUAUGUUAAUAGUUCAGUUUUCAUAUAUGAUGCAGACAUUUUUUAAAUAUGUUCAAUGCUACUGUAGUUUCAGGUCAGGUACAAUGUAUCUGAUUUUAAUGUCUUGAAUUCAACUUAUUUUCUUCAGAAUCGGGAUAAAACUUCAUAAGUGAUUUUGAUGUCUUAGAAGGUGCUAGAUGGAGGUUUUUAACUUUACUUUCAAUUGAAUAUAAGAGACAUUUCAAUAAGGUUAUAUUUUCUAUAAACUAUAUAUUUAUUAAAGUGUCAGGAGAUCUGGAGAUAAAAUGUCACAGCAUCUCCUAUUAUUACCAAAGUACUAAGAAAGGAAUAGCUAGAGCAAUAAUUGUGAUGUCUACUACUAUUUUACAUCUCAUGUUCUAAUUAAUACUUGUGAUUGAGAGACUUCUUCAGAUAUUUUUAAUGUAAGCUGGAUGUAUUAGGCUUCCUUAGGGCAUGCAUUUUCAUUGUACCCUUUACGGGAGGUGAGUCCAUUCUUUUUCCUCCCUGCUUCCCAGGAAAAUCUUUUCUGCUGACCAUGAUUCUUGUGACCAUGUCACCUUCAUGCUCCCAAAAAGCAGAAGUUCUGCGUAGUCGGGUCCUGAGCGCACUCAGAUAUGAAAUAGGAAGUCGCUUGUAGCAUUUGUUCUUGGUGCCUGUGUCUGGAGUCCCGUGUGUGCGUUUUCGGAGUUAGUGUCAAGGUCUGAUGUCACUCAUAUCAGAUUGCUUAGGACUCUUACGUUUUUCCUGAGACAAUCAUGCACUUGAUAUUCUGUUCUGUGGGAGAUCUCAGAAGGUGGACCCUUCGAGAAUGUGAUGGUUUGUCAUCUUGGGUUCAUCUCAUCAGGCGUAGUUAAGGGAUGAGGGCAAGACCAGAGCAGAAACAAGUCAGACAAACGAACCCACUCCUCAAUAUAACCAUUUAUCUAAAGGCAAUCAUUCAGUUUGCGUAUGAGGUAAUAACUGGGCUUUUAAUAGCUGAUAUUAUCUUCAAAUUAAGAGUAUGAUUAUGGUGGCUGGUUGAUGUUUGUUUAUUUUUUUUAACAGCUGUGUUUAGGCAAUCUUCAGUUUUGUGCACUAAGUUAAAAAAUAGGAUAAGAAUCUUUGUUUUUCAAACAUUUUGUAAAACUGAACUUUUUGUAAUUUCAAAGGUUUUCUGGUUCUUUCUCAUUGUUUUUGGAUGAAGGUAUCUUUUGAGCCUCACUAAAUGUACUGCUUAUAUUCUGGAUAAUAACAUAUUUGAUACUGUCCAGCUUGUACAAGGAUUCUUCCUGUCAAUGUACACAUAGAAAGUGAUUAUAUUUAUCUGCCAUACGGGGGUAAAUUCAAAGGAUUUGAGGAACAGCUUACAUGAGCUUUAGUGAAAAAUCACUACAUAUAUUUUCUUUAUUAUUAUAAAAUUCUAAGAGAAGUGUCAAGUAAAAGGAAAAAUAAUACUGAAUUUGUAUAAAACUUCCAAAUAAAAUGUUUAAAAAUGUUAA
RNA transcript from Peromyscus eremicus (cactus mouse), 2741 nucleotides. It is a transcript of the gene named adaptor related protein complex 1 subunit sigma 3, with no coding region annotated. NCBI's taxonomy places the organism in Eukaryota, Metazoa, Chordata, Mammalia, Rodentia, Cricetidae. The transcript has 6 exons. The record is from RefSeq and is a predicted model, not a curated record.